RNAcentral lists this transfer RNA (77 nucleotides) under Methylobacter sp. RNAcentral describes it as "tRNA-Met". It matches the Rfam family "tRNA". Rfam says of the family: Transfer RNA (tRNA) molecules are approximately 80 nucleotides in length. Their secondary structure includes four short double-helical elements and three loops (D, anti-codon, and T loops). Lineage: Bacteria; Pseudomonadati; Pseudomonadota; Gammaproteobacteria; Methylococcales; Methylococcaceae. The record is from RNAcentral.
CGCGGGGUGGAGCAGCUUGGUAGCUCGUCGGGCUCAUAACCCGAAGGUCGUAGGUUCAAUUCCUGCUUCCGCAACCA